ACGGAAGGCAGCAGUGGGGGAUAUUGCACAAUGGGGGGAACCCUGAUGUAGCGACGCCGCGUGAGUGAAGAAGUAUUUCGGUAUGUAAAGCUCUUUAAGCUGGAAAGACAAUGACGGUACCAGCAGAAUAAGCCCCGGCUAACUACGUGCCAGCAGCCGCGGUAAUACGUAGGGGGCAAGCGUUAUCCGGAUUUACUGGGUGUAAAGGGAGCGUAGACGGCAUAGCAAGUCUGAAGUGAAAUCAUAGGGCUUAACCCUGUAAUUGCUUUGGAAACCGUUAAGCUUGAGUACCGGAGGGGCAGGCGGAAUUCCUGGUGUAGCGGUGAAAUGCGUAGAUAUCAGGAAGAACACCGGUGGCGAAGGCGGCCUGCUGGACGGUAACUGACGUUGAUGCUCGAAAGCGUGGGGCGCAAACAGGAUUAGAUACCCUGGUA
This 434-nucleotide ribosomal RNA is filed under the name uncultured Moryella sp. RNAcentral describes it as "partial 16S ribosomal RNA". It matches the Rfam family "Bacterial small subunit ribosomal RNA", at positions 341 to 792 of the family's 1533-position model. The record is from RNAcentral. Lineage: Bacteria; Bacillati; Bacillota; Clostridia; Lachnospirales; Lachnospiraceae.